Molecule: non-coding RNA, 261 nt
Organism: Paramuricea clavata
Lineage: Eukaryota; Metazoa; Cnidaria; Anthozoa; Malacalcyonacea; Plexauridae
Source: the annotation of a GenBank genome assembly
AAAAAAUCGAUUUGUCCUAGCAGUGGCUUAACAUUGCAAGUGAUGAUCUGCGUCGGUAGACCACUUAACUUAAGACCAUUACGGCAUUACUUACAAUUACACCCAUGCAGGUCGACGUGCGAAGUCACACGUUUGACUCAUGGUUCAUUGUUGAGAUGAUAUAUACAAGGAUGAUUUGAAGAACACGUUUGCGAGAUAUUCUGAGUAAGAAAGUCAAGAAACAUUAAUGUUUAGUAUUAAUGUUUAAUUAUACGACUUACA